UACCUUAUAACUAGCCCAAAUAUUCGAACUCAGAAAACAAAAUAAUUAUAUUACUAAUGACCUAAACAUUACAC
RNAcentral lists this ribosomal RNA (74 nucleotides) under Antennarius commerson (Commerson's frogfish). RNAcentral's name for it is "partial 16S rRNA". The record is from RNAcentral. Lineage: Eukaryota; Metazoa; Chordata; Actinopteri; Lophiiformes; Antennariidae.